Molecule: ribosomal RNA, 1408 nt
Filed under: Salinicola peritrichatus
Lineage: Bacteria; Pseudomonadati; Pseudomonadota; Gammaproteobacteria; Oceanospirillales; Halomonadaceae
Description: bacterial SSU rRNA
Rfam family: Bacterial small subunit ribosomal RNA
Source: RNAcentral
GCUAGUCGAGCGGCAGCGCGGGGAGCUUGCUCCCUGGUGGCGAGCGGCGGACGGGUGAGUAAUGCAUAGGAAUCUGCCCGGUAGUGGGGGAUAACCUGGGGAAACCCAGGCUAAUACCGCAUACGUCCUACGGGAGAAAGCAGGGGCUCUUCGGACCUUGCGCUAUCGGAUGAGCCUAUGUCGGAUUAGCUGGUUGGUGAGGUAAUGGCUCACCAAGGCGACGAUCCGUAGCUGGUCUGAGAGGAUGAUCAGCCACACUGGGACUGAGACACGGCCCAGACUCCUACGGGAGGCAGCAGUGGGGAAUAUUGGACAAUGGGCGCAAGCCUGAUCCAGCCAUGCCGCGUGUGUGAAGAAGGCCCUCGGGUUGUAAAGCACUUUCAGCGAGGAAGAAGGCUUGGCGGCUAAUACCCGUCAAGAAGGACAUCACUCGCAGAAGAAGCACCGGCUAACUCCGUGCCAGCAGCCGCGGUAAUACGGAGGGUGCGAGCGUUAAUCGGAAUUACUGGGCGUAAAGCGCGCGUAGGUGGUUUGGCACGCCGGUUGUGAAAGCCCCGGGCUCAACCUGGGAACGGCAUCCGGAACGGCCAGACUAGAGUGCAGGAGAGGAAGGUAGAAUUCCCGGUGUAGCGGUGAAAUGCGUAGAGAUCGGGAGGAAUACCAGUGGCGAAGGCGGCCUUCUGGCCUGACACUGACACUGAGGUGCGAAAGCGUGGGUAGCAAACAGGAUUAGAUACCCUGGUAGUCCACGCCGUAAACGAUGUCGACUAGCCGUUGGGACCUUUAAGGACUUAGUGGCGCAGUUAACGCGAUAAGUCGACCGCCUGGGGAGUACGGCCGCAAGGUUAAAACUCAAAUGAAUUGACGGGGGCCCGCACAAGCGGUGGAGCAUGUGGUUUAAUUCGAUGCAACGCGAAGAACCUUACCUACCCUUGACAUCCAGAGAACUUGGCAGAGAUGCCUUGGUGCCUUCGGGAACUCUGAGACAGGUGCUGCAUGGCUGUCGUCAGCUCGUGUUGUGAAAUGUUGGGUUAAGUCCCGUAACGAGCGCAACCCUUGUCCCUAUUUGCCAGCGAUUCGGUCGGGAACUCUAGGGAGACUGCCGGUGACAAACCGGAGGAAGGUGGGGACGACGUCAAGUCAUCAUGGCCCUUACGGGUAGGGCUACACACGUGCUACAAUGGCCGGUACAAAGGGUUGCGAGACCGCGAGGUGGAGCGAAUCCCAGAAAGCCGGCCUCAGUCCGGAUCGGAGUCUGCAACUCGACUCCGUGAAGUCGGAAUCGCUAGUAAUCGUGAAUCAGAAUGUCACGGUGAAUACGUUCCCGGGCCUUGUACACACCGCCCGUCACACCAUGGGAGUGGACUGCACCAGAAGUGGUUAGCUUAACCUUCGGGGGAGCGAUCAC